GAUGAACGCUAGCGGCAGGCUUAACACAUGCAAGUCGAGGGGUAUAGUUCUUCGGAAUUAGAGACCGGCGCACGGGUGCGUAACGCGUAUGCAAUCUACCUUUUGCAGAGGGAUAGCCCAGAGAAAUUUGGAUUAAUACCUCAUAGUAUAGCACAACCGCAUGGUUGAGUUAUUAAAGUCACAACGGCAAAAGAUGAGCA
Molecule: ribosomal RNA, 200 nt
Filed under: uncultured bacterium
Lineage: Bacteria
Description: partial 16S ribosomal RNA
Rfam family: Bacterial small subunit ribosomal RNA
Source: RNAcentral